GAGAAUGAAUAGUAUAUUUUAGUUAUUCCAGAAAUAGAACAAAGCAGAUGUUUUUAUAAAUUAUUUAUGUAUGAAAACACCCAAAUGCAAGAACUUUUUAUUGAUCCCAGUGGGUUCUGGACUGUGGCCCAUACUUUAUUUAUGCUGUGAUGUGAUUUCAAUGAAAAACAAAAAUCAAGGAAACAUGGGAGACCUUGAGCUUCAGCUCAGGACUCUGGCCAAUUUCUAAUCCAAAAUGGCUUCUGCAAAGCAUAAAUUAAGUUUCUUUUCAGCAGGACAACAACUAAUCUACUUUUCCAAUUAACAAUUAAACCAACUUCUCUGCCGAAAAAUCUGCCAUUUAAGGUCAGCACGAAGAAAUUCUAUAAAUACAUGAGCUCCCAAUUAAUUCACAUAGGGCCUACUGUUACACAAUUUACAAGGCCUGAAUCUACUUUCCCUACAGAUCAGCCUGAGCUGCGUUUCACCCUUACAGAACGAAAUGCCGUUGUUCUGUAUUUAAUUAUUUUUUCAACGCUGCCACAGUGCUGCAGUGCGUGAGUGACAGAGCUUCGCCACAGCGAGCUUCCCCUGCCGCCUUAAUCCACUGGAUGAGCCUGGCUGCUUCCAGGGUCUUCCACGGCAGCUUCCCCUCCCCGCAGCGGCUGCUACCGCACACCCAGCGCGGAGGGGCCCGACGGACCCACGGAGGAGCCGAACCUUCGACACCCACACGGCGCAGGGACUCGAGCUGCGCAUUUUAUUUUAUUCCAGCUCCCCCCUCAGCGUUUUUCAGCCCCCACACAGGAAUCGUGCGGCCGCGGAUGAGGCAGUGAUCCUCCCCGGGCUGAGCGCUGCGGCAGCGCUGUCCUGCCGGGGCCCCGCCACCGUUCCUUGGGCCCCCGGUGCCCGUUUCCACCCGGAGCGUUCCCCCCUCCGCCUCCCCCUCGCCGCCGGCCGUAGGCGCCUUCCCGCAGCCCUUCCCCGCUCCCGCAGCACCACUCCCCCGGUUCCACCCCCGCCGCGGCUGCGGGAGCGGCCGGGCCCGCGCCCCCUCUCCCGACCCGUCCCGCCUCACCUUCGGGCGGGUCCCGCAGGAGGCUCUGCCGGAUGUCCAGCUGCUGUAGCAGAGCUGUGGCCACCAGAAGAAGGACCAGAGCAGCCUCCUGCUGAUGUAACCUCAAUUUCCCACCAAGCCUGAGCAUUUCUGACAGCAGAAAGCAUUUACCAGUGGACUGCUGAGCACAUCAGUAUGGAUACAGUUCUCUUGCUGUUUGGAUUGGGAGAGCCAUCACUCUGAUCAGAAACUGAAAUCCUGCUUUGUGCUCCUCCAGUGUGGAAAUCUGUCAGAAAUGGCUUCAAGCAAGCCCCAAACACCCAACAGCAAGCCAGAUGACACGGCACAAACCACAACCUUUUGCUCAAAAGCCAGCUGAGAGACUGAAGUGAGAAAGGAUUUAGAGUUUCAUCCCUGCUGAGCUGAGGAAGAUCGUGUGCGAACUGACAUCGCUGCCGAUCGCGGAAGGCGCGGAAAAUCCUAACCUGAACUUGGGGAAAACAGCCUCACUUUUCUCAGAAGGAAAGAUGAAUCCACAGAGUAGAUCUUGCCACAGCAGAAGGAACAUGUGUCAUGGGAACAGCAGAGGCAAAAUGUGUCACGGGAAAAAUCUUGACGGAUUCAGCCCAGGACGCGAAUAUGCAAAUUGAGACCAAAUUAAAUGCAAUUGAGCAAGAUAACACAUAUCCCAGCAAUGAAGAAAACUCACAGCACACUCGCAAAAAAGAUGGAGUUUAAAUCCAAGGAGGGGGCUCUGAGGAUGUAUAAGCAGUCCCCAGUGACUAAAUUUUAGCAGCAAUAUGAAAAUUUCCCUGAAAAGGAGGCAGGAAAGUGUUGCAGGAAUCAAACAAGGAGUAACUGAAGUGCAGGGGCCAUUGCUGAACUCAGUGGAAGAGGUGUAACCUGCCCCCUAAGACAGCAACAAAGCCCAGGUACUAAAUAACAAUAUAGUUUUUCUGAUAUUAAAAAGUCAUCCUGUGGCUCACUUCUGGGAUACUGUGUAUUUUUUCUCUUCCUGGCCUGCUCUGCUGAAAGAGGGAUUUUCAAGAGUUGCUGGUUUCUAUCUCCAAAGCAGUUUGAUUUCAGUUCCAGGGGAAAUGAAACUCUCAGCUAGCUUCAUUUGUAAAAUCUUUGAAGAUGUGGGAAUGUCCUCUGGCUGUAGGGAGAGGGAGUGUGAUUCAGAGCCUGGUACAGAUAUAGAAAGGGGUUCAAUAUUUAAUUAAACAUAAUCUUCCUUGUGGCAUGAGUGACUGAGCUCUUUCAGGAAUAAAAGUCCUUGGUUUUUAUUACAUUAUUCUGCAGAUGUGACAACAGAAAACCUUUUGCAGGACUAUGCU
Serinus canaria (Common canary) is the source of this 2373-nucleotide long non-coding RNA. RefSeq lists it as uncharacterized. The record is from RefSeq and is a predicted model, not a curated record. NCBI's taxonomy places the organism in Eukaryota, Metazoa, Chordata, Aves, Passeriformes, Fringillidae. The transcript has 4 exons.